AGAGAGAAAACAAAAACAAAAAAAACUUUCAGAGGAAGGAGCCCCUGCAUUCUGGUGGAAAGUAUUCAAGGUGAAGAUAAACUUUUCAACUUAAUAUCGUGACUUUGAUAGCAGAAGGGAUCUACUCUUGAAAGCCCAAAAAAUGUUGUUGCUAUAGGAACAGACUUGGUAAACAAGAUAUGUGAGAAGAAAAGAAGGUCAAAGACCCGGCUGCACUCCUGCUUCACUGCUGAACUUCUGCUUCUAGCUACCAGGGAAUACACCACUCCUCACAUUAGGGAUUUCCUAAAAUUGUUAGGUGUUUCGAACAGAACUUGCUAUACGGAUGAGGCUCAAACCCGAAUCAUAAAGUGGCAUGGUGCUUCUCUCCGUAUCCGCUUUAUUUAAAAAGAAAACAUUCUUGAUAAGAUGAAUACAGUAUUUUCAUUCUAGCAAACUUCUGCUGUCAGAGGUUACCUUUACAGGAUAGAGAGAUUUCUCAAACACGACCUUUUCUUGUGAAAUACCAGAGUGAAAUUGCAGAGAAGUCUGUGUGUGUGUGUGUGUGUGUGUGUGUGUGUGUGUGUGUGUGUGUGUGUGUGUCUUGGAGGCUGAGGAGUGGGAAUGGGAAGAAGGGAAUGUGGCUAGAAUCUUACCAUCUCAUUUUCUUCUCCUUCAUUGAGCAAAGCGUGCUGGCCCUUCUCAAACUGGUCCCCCAUGAAAAAGUUAUUCCACACUUCCUCCCUGACUUUGCCAGGCAAAUGCUUCCAGGACGAACUCCAACUCGCCGCCAAGCCACCGCAGCUCCUCAGCUGACUAAAAGAGUUAAUGAUCCUCCAGGUUAAAACUCCUCCUUGGGCACACACCUUCCCUCAACAAAUGACAAUACUUGGCACACUGAACUCCUCCCACAAGUCGCCCUCUGCUAGGAGGAAUUUCUGGCUGCUCUCUGUUUAUUGCAUUCUCUCAGAGCAGCUGUCUCAAAGGAGGCUGCUCCCAUGCCGAUCUUUUUGUGCCCAACUUACAGGGAAAGAACUCAUUGCCUGCCCACUGCCUGCCAGCAUCAGACCUCUGACUGCAAAUCCAACAGGACAAUACAGAGUUGGCAGGACCCUUCUCAGGAGUGAGGAGCGGGUGCAAGAACUCCCAGGUCACUGCUUUAUUCAGAUGGCCUAAGGAAUUGGAGUGAGUGGAAGUACACAGAGUCUUGGAUCUUCUUCGAUUAAUGAAAGCUUCGAUCCAUAGGUUUUCAAUACUAUUCUCAUUCAUUUUGCUUACAAAAGAUGCAAAUUAUCACUAAUCUGUAAUCACAUUUCCUUGUAUAUGCAAAAAACAUUCUGUUUGCUGUAUACGUGAAAUUAAGUUUACUUUUUUGAAACACAUGUAGAAAAAGAACAAAGCUAUAAUCAAACUAGUCUGUGUCACUCUUUACAUAAAAUAUUGAUGGUUCAACACUUAAGGAAGUCUAGAAAUAAAAUAUUGAAGUGAC
Saimiri boliviensis boliviensis (Bolivian squirrel monkey) is the source of this 1468-nucleotide non-coding RNA. NCBI's taxonomy places the organism in Eukaryota, Metazoa, Chordata, Mammalia, Primates, Cebidae. The record is from RefSeq and is a predicted model, not a curated record.